GGUAUGGAAACCUACUAAGUGCCAACUUUCAAAUUCAGAGAAACCCUGGAAUUAAAAAUGGGCAAUCCUGAGCCAAAUCCUUUAUUUACGAGAAUAAACAAAGGUUCAGAAUCAGAAAGCGAAAAGAAAAAAAAAAAGGAUAGGUGCAGAGACUCAAUGGAAGCUGUUCUAACAAAUGGGGUUGACUGCCUUUGCAAACCCUUCUCUCGAAAUUCUAGAAAGGAUAAAGGAUAAACAUAUAUACAUAUGUAGACGUAAUGAAAAAUUAUCUCAAAAAAGACGGUCCGAACUCCUAUUUUUUUAUAUCAAAAAAAAGAAUUGUUGUGAAUCGAUUCCAAGUUCAAGUUGAAGAAAGAAUCAAACGAAUAGAAUAUUCAUUAAUCAAAUCAUUCACCCCAUAGGCUGAAUCUGAUAAAUCUUUUGCAAAACUGAUUAAUCGGACGAGAAUAAAGAUAGAGUCCCGUUCUACAUGUCAAUAUCAAUACCCGACAACAAUGGAAAUUUAUAGUAAGAGGAAAAUCCGUCGACUUUAAAAAUCGUGAGGGUUCAAGUCCCUCUAUCCCCA
Molecule: non-coding RNA, 565 nt
Filed under: Rhopalocarpus sp. Chase 906
Lineage: Eukaryota; Viridiplantae; Streptophyta; Magnoliopsida; Malvales; Sphaerosepalaceae
Description: partial transfer RNA-Leu(UAA)
Rfam family: Group I catalytic intron (bases 1-482)
About the family: Group I catalytic introns are large self-splicing ribozymes.
Source: RNAcentral